This 881-nucleotide long non-coding RNA is filed under the name Zea mays. Its description in RNAcentral is "long non-coding RNA (ZMAY_LNC000263)". Lineage: Eukaryota; Viridiplantae; Streptophyta; Magnoliopsida; Poales; Poaceae. The record is from RNAcentral.
CCUGACAGCCUGAGUGUCUUUUAUAGACGUCUGUACCUGGUGUGGCUGAACCGGAUGGCACCGUUGAGCCAGGGCUUCCUCUAGUUAUUGGAAGUCUAGGGCUCCAAAUAUAUAAACUACACCCAGCCCAGGUGGGGUUGGCCGAGGCCCAACAAAUUAGGGUUUCCCGGAGCCCAACAGUUCAUUAAGCACACCCAACUCAGGGAAAGGCCCAAUAGCCCCAAAAGACUAGUCUAAUGGGAGAAGGGUGGCUCUCCCUUUUAAAGUGGCUUCCUCCUCCCAAGUUAAGCGAGGUAGGAUAAUUCUGAGGCUCACACGGUCGCCGUCCGACUACAAUUGGGCCAACUGGGCCGAUUGCGUCUUUGCCAACGGGUAAUAGUGGAGGAUGUCCUCAUCAUUCCUACCUUCUUAAAAUGGGCCCUAGCUCUAAUACCAGAUGAUACACCCAGCCCAGGUGGGGUUGGCCGAGGCCCAACAAAUUAGGGUUUCCCGGAGCCCAACAGUUCAUUAAGCACACCCAACUCAAGGAAAGGCCCAAUCGCCCCAAAAGACUAGUCCAAUGGGAGAAGGGUGGCUCUCCCUUUUAAAGUGGCUUCCUCCUCCCAAGUUAAGCGAGGUGGGAUAAUUCUGAGGCUCACACGGUCGUCGUCCGACUACAUUGGGCCAAUUGGGCCAAUUGUGUCUUUGCCAACGGGUAAUAGUGGAGGAUGUCCUCAUCAUUCCUACCUUCUUAAAAUGGGCCCUAGCUCUGAUACCAGAUGAUACACCUAGCCCAGGUGGGGUUGGCCGAGGCCCAACAAAUUAGGGUUUCCUGGAGCCCAACAGUUCAUUAAGCACACCCAACUCAGGGAAAGGCCCAAUCGCCCCAAAAAGACUAGUCC